ACUCAAAUGAAUAGACGGGGACCCGCACAAGCGGUGGAGCGUGUUGUUUAAUUCGAUGGUAAGCGAAGAACCUUACCCAGGCUUGACAUCCUACUAAUUUUUCCGAAAGGAAAGAGUGCCUUCGGGCCGUAGAGACAGGUGUUGCAUGGCCGUCGUCAGCUCGUGUCGUGAGAUGUUAGGUUAAGUCCUUCAACGAGCGCAACCCUUUUGUUUAGUUGUAUUUUUCUAAACAGACUGCCCUGGCAACAGGGAGGAAGGAGGGGAUGAGGUCAGGUCAGUAUUACCCUUACGUCUGGGGCUACAAACACGCUACAAUGGCCGGUACAAAGGGCUGCCAACCCGCGAGGGGGAGCAAAUCCCAUCAAAGCCGGUCUCAGUUCGGAUAGGAGGCUGAAACUCGCCUCCUUGAAGCUGGAAUCGCUAGUAAUGGUAGGUCAGCACACUACCGUGAAUACGUUCCCGGGUCUUGUACACACCGCCCGU
This 483-nucleotide ribosomal RNA is filed under the name uncultured bacterium. RNAcentral's name for it is "partial 16S ribosomal RNA". It matches the Rfam family "Bacterial small subunit ribosomal RNA", at positions 899 to 1397 of the family's 1533-position model. The record is from RNAcentral.